Small nucleolar RNA from Colletes gigas, 67 nucleotides. The record is from RefSeq and is a predicted model, not a curated record. Lineage: Eukaryota; Metazoa; Arthropoda; Insecta; Hymenoptera; Colletidae.
UUUGCUAUGAUGUUAUGUUACUGCCCCAGUCUGACUAGAAUAUGACUGAUUCAGUUAUUCUGACAUA